UUUCCGUAGGUGAACCUGCGAAAGGAUCAUUACAGAGUUCAUGCCCGAAAGGGUAGACCUCCCACCCUUGUGUAUUAUUACUUUGUUGCUUUGGCGAGCGCAAGCUCGCCAGUGAAUACCAAAACUCUUUUUAUUAAUGUCGUCUGAGUACUAUAUAAUAGUUAAAACUUUCAACAACGGAUCUCUUGGUUCUG
RNAcentral lists this unclassified non-coding RNA (194 nucleotides) under plant metagenome. Its description in RNAcentral is "partial contains small subunit ribosomal RNA, internal transcribed spacer 1, and 5.8S ribosomal RNA". The record is from RNAcentral.